GCUAGUGUGGUGUAGUGGUUUGAAUGCAGGACUAUGACUCUUGAGAUCGGGUUUGAAUCCACGCUGAGCC
This is a non-coding RNA of Phrynosoma platyrhinos (Desert horned lizard), 70 nucleotides long. NCBI's taxonomy places the organism in Eukaryota, Metazoa, Chordata, Lepidosauria, Squamata, Phrynosomatidae. The record is from the annotation of a GenBank genome assembly.